GCAGCCGCGGUAAUACGUAGGGGGCGAGCGUUGUCCGGAAUGACUGGGCGUAAAGGGCGCGUAGGCGGCCUGUUAAGUUAGAGGUGAAAGUCCUGCUUUCAAGGUGGGAAUUGCCUUUAAUACUGAUGGGCUUGAGUGCGGAAGAGGUAAGUGGAAUUCCCAGUGUAGCGGUGAAAUGCGUAGAGAUUGGGAGGAACACCAGUGGCGAAGGCGACUUACUGGGCCGUAACUGACGCUGAGGCGCGAAAGCGUGGGGAGCGAACAGGAUUAGAUACCCC
This 278-nucleotide ribosomal RNA is filed under the name uncultured Christensenellaceae bacterium. Its description in RNAcentral is "partial 16S ribosomal RNA". It matches the Rfam family "Bacterial small subunit ribosomal RNA", at positions 511 to 788 of the family's 1533-position model. Lineage: Bacteria; Bacillati; Bacillota; Clostridia; Christensenellales; Christensenellaceae. The record is from RNAcentral.